Molecule: ribosomal RNA, 326 nt
Filed under: Blastocystis sp.
Lineage: Eukaryota; Bigyra; Opalinata; Blastocystidae
Description: SSU rRNA
Rfam family: Eukaryotic small subunit ribosomal RNA
Source: RNAcentral
AGACGCUAGCCGUGGGUAGUCAUACGAUCGUUUCAAAGAUUAAGCCAUGCAUGUGUAAGUGUAAAUAUAAUAGUUUGGAACUGCGAAUGGCUCAUUAUAUCAGUUAUAGUUUAUUUGGUGAAGUGUACUACUUGGAUAACCGUAGUAAUUCUAGGGCUAAUACAUGAGAAAGUCCUCUGGUGAGGUGUGUUUAUUAGAAUGAAAACCAUAUGCUUCGGCAUGAUAGUGAGUAAUAGUAACCUAUCGUAUCGCAUGCUUAAUGUAGCGAUGAGUCUUUCAAGUUUCUGCCCUAUCAGCUUUCGAUGGUAGUAUAUGGGCCUACCAUG